CUUGUACUCCCUCCGACCCAAAAUUCUUGUCUUAGAUUUGUCUAAAUACGGAUGUAUCAAGUCACAUUUUAGUAUUAGGUACAUCCCUAUCUAGGCAAAUCUAAGACAAGAAUUUUGAGACGGAGGGAGUAUACA
Molecule: non-coding RNA, 135 nt
Organism: Triticum aestivum (bread wheat)
Lineage: Eukaryota; Viridiplantae; Streptophyta; Magnoliopsida; Poales; Poaceae
Source: Rfam